UAAUAAUAAUAAUAAUAUAAAUUUGUAAAUCUAUUAUGACGCACAAGAAAAUUUAUAUUAGAAACUCAAAAUGAAUCAAAUUUACUAAGCAUUCUAUUGAAUAUGGUUAGAAUGGAUACGCUUAUGUUAAGUUUUUCCUAAAUUCAAUAUUAAUAUAAUAAUUUUUAAAAAAAGUGUAGAAAAAUAGAAAGACAUAGACUAGAGAGAGAAAGAAGG
This 216-nucleotide unclassified non-coding RNA is filed under the name Hevea brasiliensis (rubber tree). The record is from RNAcentral. Lineage: Eukaryota; Viridiplantae; Streptophyta; Magnoliopsida; Malpighiales; Euphorbiaceae.